GGCUCAGGAUGAACGCUAGCUACAGGCUUAACACAUGCAAGUCGAGGGCAGCAGGGAUUUAGCUUGCUAAAUUCGCUGGCGACCGGCGCACGGGUGCGUAACGCGUAUCCAACUUUCCCGUUACUCUCGGAUAGCCUUCCGAAAGGGAGAUUAAUACGAGAUGGUGUUCAGUUUCCGCAUGUUUGCUGAACUAAAGAUUCAUCGGUAACGGAUAGGGAUGCGUGACAUUAGAUAGUUGGCGGGGUAACGGCCCACCAAGUCAACGAUGUCUAGGGGUUCUGAGAGGAAGGUCCCCCACACUGGAACUGAGACACGGUCCAGACUCCUACGGGAGGCAGCAGUGAGGAAUAUUGGUCAAUGGGCGGAGGCCUGAACCAGCCAAGUAGCGUGAAGGAUGAAGGUUCUAUGGAUUGUAAACUUCUUUUAUACGGGAAUAACAUCACCUACGUGUAGGUGCCUGCAUGUACCGUAUGAAUAAGCAUCGGCUAACUCCGUG
RNAcentral lists this ribosomal RNA (496 nucleotides) under uncultured bacterium. RNAcentral's name for it is "bacterial SSU rRNA". It matches the Rfam family "Bacterial small subunit ribosomal RNA", at positions 21 to 507 of the family's 1533-position model. The record is from RNAcentral.